GCGCCAGUAGUCCAGGAGUUAAGACGCUUCCCUGCCACGGAAGUGACCCGGGUGCGAAUCCCGGCUGGCGCA
Molecule: transfer RNA, 72 nt
Filed under: Candidatus Pacearchaeota archaeon
Lineage: Archaea; Nanobdellati
Description: tRNA-Gly
Rfam family: tRNA
About the family: Transfer RNA (tRNA) molecules are approximately 80 nucleotides in length. Their secondary structure includes four short double-helical elements and three loops (D, anti-codon, and T loops).
Source: RNAcentral